GACGCCCGGCGGCAGGGGCGGGCAGGCGGCGGAGGGGGGCGCGAAGGGGCCGCAGGUGCUGGAGUUGGCGGGGAAGGCGCUGUCCAUGGUGCUGGGCGGAGGAGCGCGCAGGACGCGCCGCCGAGCAGCAGGUGAAAACCUUGACUGCACUGAAGACUGUCAAGAAGCCCCAGGGAUUAGUCCCAUUAAGAACAAGACUCAUUAAGCAAAAUUUCAGAGAGGGAGGCCAGACGAUGGAGGAAGGAGAAGAUGCUAAAGACAAAAUAAAACACAAGGAGUGGUCUACUGUUUAAAUAUGCCUUCCAGAGGGAAUUUUCUGAAGACUCUCAUUUCAUACUACUGUAACUGCCUCUGGAGACCAGGUCUAUGCCUGAAAGUGAAAUAGGCCUUGCGACCUUGAUCAAAGCUGUGGAAAAAUGUUGCAUCGAAUGCAAUGUAGUUAAGUCAACCUAGCCACACCCACCCCUUGUAAUUGCAGCUAGGUUGACGGAAGGAUAGCUACUGCAUCUCAAGGGGGUGGAUUUACUACAGCAAUGGAAAACCCCCUUCUGUUGCUGUAGCUAGUGUCUACACUAAAGUGGUAUUGGUGCAGCUGUGUCACUGUAGUGCUUGGAGUGUAGACAGGAAUUUUCUAGCUCCCGGAACACUGAACUUAGCCUCCGAGAUGCUACCCUUUGGACUACAGCAACAGUGGCUCUAUAGCCUCCACAUACCAUCUCCCAGACUGCUUAGGAUCUUGGGGUGGGGACAGAAUAGACUGGAAAGGCCUACCAAAGCCAGCGGGGAGCACUGGAUGGAGUGAUUUAUAUAGGCAAUUUGCUAGGCCAAUGAGAAGUGAGGGCUGCUCAGUUUAAGGGGGUGGGGAUGGGCGAAUUCAGGCUGUCUCAGAGACAAAGGGACUCAUUCAGAUUUCAGUUUCAGGCUGUUUGAGUUUGGAAUACUAAAACAUCAUUGGCAUUUCUAAACAUUAUAGACAACAAUUUCCUAACUCAAAAAGCAUUGCAGCCACCCUAGUGGAAUACUUUAUCUUAACAAAUAAAGAGGAACUGGUCACCUCUCUGAACCUCAAGGGUUCUUGGCCAUAGGCCAUUUAACAUUUUUGUCAAUGAUCUGGAAGAAAACAUGAAAUCAUCACUGACAAAGUUAGCAGAAAGCAUAAAAAAUUGGGGGAGUGGUAAAUAAUAAAGAGGACAGGUCACUGAUUCAGAAUGAUAUGUAUCACUUGGUAAACUGGGCACAAGCAAACAAUAUGCAUUUUAAUAUGCUAGCAUAAAUGUAUACAUCUCGGAACAAAGAAGCAGUCCAUACUUAUAGGAUGGAGGACUCUAUUCUGGGAAGCAGUGACUCUGAAAAAUAUUUGGGGGUUGUGGUGGAUAAUCAGCUGAACAUGAACUCCCAUUGGGAGGCUGUGGCCAAAAGGGCUAAUGUAAUUCUGGGAUGCAUAAACGGGAAUCUCGAGUAGGAGUAAAAGUAUUAUUUUACCUCUGUUUGGCACUGGUGAGACUGCUGCUGGAAUACUGUGACCAGUUCUUGUGCCUACAAUUCAAGAAGGAUGUUGAUAAAUUGGAGAGAGUUCAGAGAAAAUACACAGGAAUGAUUAAAGGAUUAGAAAACAUGAAAGAGUUCAAUUUAUUCAGCAUAACAAAAAGCAGGUUAAUGGAUGACUUGGUUGUAGUCUACAUGGGGAACAAAUAUCUAAUUAUGGGCUCUUUAAUCUAGCAGAAAAUUGUAUAAUAAAAUUAAUUGAAGCUAGACAAAUUUAGACUGGAAAUAAGACAAACAUUUUUUAACAGUGAGAGUAAUUAACCAUUGGAACACUUUAACAAGGGUCAUGGUGGAUUCUCCACUAUUGGCAAUUUUAAAAUCAAGAUUGGAUGGUUUUCUACAAUAUCUGCUCUAUGAACUAUUUUUGCAAAAUUCUCUUGCCUGUGUUAUGCAGGAGGUGAGACUAGAUGAUUACAAUGGUCCCUUCUGGCCUUGGAAUCUAUGAAUCUAUGGAGCAGAGAGAGGAGCAACUGUCAACUCCCAUUCCUCACACAAAAGGAGACUUUGAAUUAUUGUGGGAUUUAGUAUGUGGUCAAGUUGUGCCAGCCCUUCAAAAACCAGCAAUCAGGGAGGCAGAGAACCAAUCCACUACUGACUACCUAGAGCCAGCCAAGACCUCCACAUGACUCCAGAUUAGGGAUCCAGGAGAGAAACCGGUCCCAGGGGUGAAGACACAAUAAGGGAAGCCCUUUCUUUUUGUCAAGCUGCCCAACAUUCACAGUGCUGCAGCACUCAUCACAGGAUUUAUCCUCUGUGCCCCAUCUGCCUGUAAAGGUGGUAGGCAGGGAAUGGGGGUAUAUGUGCAGUGGGGAAUGUAGGGAGAAGGGGAAUUUGUUAUAUUGUUGAUCUAGUAUUUUAGUUCAUCUUAAUCCUUUCUUUACCUAGAGCCUUUGUUUCCUGUCUCCAGUCAAGUCCCCUGUGUUAUAUUGUUCUAAUCUGAGUGUAGCAUUUAAUUGGCGGGGUAUUGUGUUUUGUUAUCCAUGUGCUGGGUUAUAUUCCUGGUGAAUAGGGAGAUGAUAUUAGUUAUUUUCCCAAUGGACAGCACCUCUUGUGUCCCAGGCACAGAGAGGAGUCACCUUGCAUGGAGGCACCAGGCUGAAAUAAAGGACCCAGGACCUAACCCCUGCGAGGAGUGGAGAGAAGCCUCUCUUAUUAGUGAGCAUGAGGGAAGAAGUUUAAGCCAGGCCUUGUGGGAGGGACUACUCUUGCUGCUAGCAUAGACUAGGUACAAUCAAAACAAAAGCAAUAUGUCUGGAUACUAGUGAGGACUAUUAAACCUAAAUUUUGUGUCAUUUGUUUGAAGUGCAAUCAAAUGGGUUAUGAGGACACAAUACAGUUCAGUACAUCUUAAAUUUAAAAAUUAAAGGUCAAACCACACUCUCAGUCACAAAGAUAUUUUAUUUUUGCUUUCCCCCCCUACUUUUUCUCUCUUACAUCUUACCUCGUUAAUUUUAUAAUAGCGAGCAGGUACGUUUGGGAAAAUAAGUCCACCACUAAAAGACAAAUGCCUAGAUUUGUUGCUAUGCUUUGGCUGCUUUUUGCUAUCCCAGUUGAUACAAAACAGCUGUAAACCCAUCUUAACCUGCCAGGUAAACUGGGUUUAUGGGUGCUUUUGCAUCAUUAGAGAAAUGCAAAACAGCAGGCAUGUGCUGCUGAAUCUGGCCCAAGGUUUAUAUUUACCAUUUGCUAAAGUAUUGUAUCCCGCCCCGCCGUUUUAUUUCACAUUCCCUCCAUCCUGUAGAGUUAUGCGUUCACAGAUAAUAUGACAUUUAGGUGGGGGUACCUCAGCCCACCUCUCCCCUGAGCUUUGCUUUAUAUCUUAUGAGGAAAAAAUCACUUUCCCUUCAGAUCUUGUCCUUUUCUACUCAUUCCUGCUGUAUUAUAGAACACUCAAGAUUGCAUAGUAACCUCUAUUCAAACUCAUUGAAAUGUGUCUCUGUGCCUUACCUUGCACCAAGGACAGGCACAUAGAUCUCCUAUUUCCUUCUUCGGUGCACGUAGUUUUCUUUGGAAUUGUGCUUCCAUCUCUAUGUCCAGCUAGCUCCAUGGGCUGAAGAAGGGUGUUUGUGUGUGUGAGAGAGACAGACAGAGAGAGAUUAUAGGUCUGCUCCUUAUGUAUCCAUCUUUGGGUUACUGACACCCCUCAGGAGCUCUAGGAGGAGUGGUUUUCCCAAUGCUCUUUUCUUUGUGUAAGGGAUGCCUCACCUUAGCUCACCCAUACUAUAGCCAGGAAUAGUCUGGUCCAUAAUCAUUAGUGGGAGCUAUUGGACUGAACACUAGAAGCACUUGAGCCCUUGCACAAUGUGUACAAUUUAGGAACAUGAAGUACUCUAUCUCUCCCUGCACUAUAUGGCAAGGGACUUCAAUGGAACUCAAAAAUCUGUGAUGCUCAUUCAGCACAUCAGUGGGUGCAUCGAUUCUGAGUGUACUCUUCUCUGGUACUUAGGGCACUAAUGUGCAUUAUUCUCUUCAUGCUAUCUGUGAACCAGGCACCCCAUGUUGGUCACAGAUGGGGGAUACACAGUCUAUACCCAGGGACUUGCCUAGAUAUGGCCCACGUUUCCCCUGGGUUCAUCAUCUUCACAAUAUUUCACCAAAGGGGGACAUGUAUGGCCCCUGCCAAUAGAUAAGUACUUGCUGGUUACCAUGGCUAUUGCAGGAUUUAUGUACAUGAAAUAUUUUAAGAGUUAUGUAACAUGUAGACUAAUAGAAAAGGAGUACUUGUGGCACCUUAGAGACUAACCAAUUUAUUUGAGCAUGAGCUUUCGUGAGCUACAGCUCACUUCAUCAGACUAAUGUAUUCCAAAGCGGCUGAAAGUUGAGCUGGUCACUUGGAGCAGUGUGGUUCUGAGAGCUAACUCAAGGAAAAGUCAGAAUAAUUAGCAUCUUUUGACCCAGCCCAGGCAAAUGUUGACAAUCUUGACAAGUUGGAGGCUUGCACCUUUCCAAAACACAAAAGAGCCCGGGAAAAAGAUCUCUAAUAGGGAACCAGCGGGAAGUGAAGUUAACCAAAUGCCCUGGGUAUGAAAAAAGACAAAAGGCCGGGAACUGCAUAAUAGAAAAAAUAAGGGUGCAAGAUGGCAUCUAUUAUAGAGGUAACACUCAGCCAGUAUGAGAGUCUCAUGAAAAGUGGAUCCCAGCUCUCUUGACUGGACAAGUGCUGUUCAGACUGACGAUUGGGUGAGAAAAAAACCUGAUUAGGCAGGAAAGGGUCUUGUUAAUAAUUAUAGGCUCUAGAUUGCAUUUGAUAUUUUUCUUGUUGCAUUUUUUCUUCAUGGUUUCUAAUCCCUAUACUUACUUCUAUUUGAAUCUUUGUCUUAAGCUUUGUCAAAUAAACUUGUCUUUGUUUUUACUAUAGACACGACUAAGAGAAGUGUGCUAAGGUUAAACUAAGGCAAAAUUAGUGAACUGGCUUUCAUGAAAGCAACAAAUCUGUGUGCAUUGUGGGUGUUCAGAAGUUGAGGGACUGGCACUCGAGUGUAACAAAGUGGGGUGUACUGACAGGUUGGAGGGACCUGUGCCAGAGCAGAACCCUGGGGGCUAACUAUCUCCAUAGAUUUAGCCACAGGUUGUUAUCUUUGCUUUGUCCCAGGGACUCACUUAGGGGCCUAAGGACUGGGGUGUACAAAUUGCUAGCCUGCAGAGGGAAAGAGCAGAGCUUGUGGAUUCCAGCCUGGGGGUGGUUUUGUUGCCAGCAGCUGAUAGUUUUGGGGGAGUUUCCAAGGGUGGGCAAACAAGGCUGGUUUGUGUUAUAAGCAGAUAGUAGCAAUUCACCCUGUGCAAGUCAUUUAACCUCUCUAUGUUCUAGUUUUUCCACCUGUGUAACGGGGAUAAUAAUACUUGUUAGGCUUCAUUAAUAAUUG
Long non-coding RNA from Caretta caretta (loggerhead turtle), 5408 nucleotides. RefSeq lists it as uncharacterized. The record is from RefSeq and is a predicted model, not a curated record. Lineage: Eukaryota; Metazoa; Chordata; Testudines; Cheloniidae.